GACGAACGCUGGCGACGUGCCUAAUACAUGCCAGUAGAACGCACAGUUUAUACCGUAGCUUGCUACACCAUAGACUGUGAGUUGCGAACGGGUGAGUAACGCGUAGGUAACCUGCCUGGUAGCGGGGGAUAACUAUUGGAAACGAUAGCUAAUACCGCAUAAUAUUAAUUAUUGCAUGAUAAUUAAUUGAAAGGUGCAAUUGCACCACUACCAGAUGGACCUGCGUUGUAUUAGCUAGUAGGUGAGGUAACGGCUCACCUAGGCGACGAUACAUAGCCGACCUGAGAGGGUGAUCGGCCACACUGGGACUGAGACACGGCCCAGACUCCUACGGGAGGCAGCAGUAGGGAAUCUUCGGCAAUGGACGAAAGUCUGACCGAGCAACGCCGCGUGAGUGAAGAAGGUUUUCGGAUCGUAAAGCUCUGUUGUAAGAGAAGAACGGGUGUGAGAGUGGAAAGUUCACACUGUGACGGUAUCUUACCAGAAAGGGACGGCUAACUACGUG
Molecule: ribosomal RNA, 505 nt
Filed under: uncultured bacterium
Lineage: Bacteria
Description: partial 16S ribosomal RNA
Rfam family: Bacterial small subunit ribosomal RNA
Source: RNAcentral